UGUUUAGGUUUCACAACAGUGACCAAGAUUCAUUAUGCAAUGAAAGAAGACAUGAAACUCUGAAAUACAUUAGAUAAAGAUUUAGAGAAGAUGCACAUGAUCUAACAGCUACUUUUUGCCUACUUUAGCUGCAUAUAAAGAUAAUGCUAUCAGAAAAUAUUCUGUUUCAAACAGUUCAGAAGCAGAUUUUGGAUUAUUUUUCCUUUUCGUUUUCCUGUUUAGUACGUAUCGAUGUCAAAUACAAUUAGGAUUUCAUUCCUUUUGUGGUUGGAUGUUUGUUUCUUAACAUACAACAAUCUGUUCUGAGCAUUUCUUACAUGUCUAUUGUUGAGCAGACAACAUUUGACUUCGGAUUUUUGGCUCUACUGGCUGUUGGAGGUUCAUUGGCUGGUUCACUAUUGUGCUUUCUCAAUGUAAUUUCUCUUUCCAUAUGUUCUGUAUUCUUACUUGAGGAGAAAAAAUAAAUGCCUUGAGGUCUUCAACUCUGAACAUAUCAAUGGUUGUGUUUAAUGGGGUAGUUGUGUCAAAGGGCAUCACACUGGACAAAUGGUUCUGCGACUAGUUGAAUCAAUUGAUAUUUAUCUUGCUGGAACUGUCAUGUUAAUAUUUGCUAUGGGAUUAUAUGGAUUAUUUAUCAAUAAUGUGCCUAACGAUGUGCCUUCCAGCGCUGAUCGUUCUUUGAAGGGAUCUUCUUUGUUUGGAAUGUUUGCUUUGAAGGUAAUCUUAAUUCCCUUCCCUGCAAUUAUAAUUGGCAAAUGUUUCUCAGACCUUCACAGCGAUUAACAGAUGCUAACAGAAUAUAUUGUUCUCCAUUGACAUUUGACAUUGCUAUCCGGCGACCUCUAAAUGGAGAACUUCUGAUUGAAAUACUUGCAAUGAGAACUCAUAAAAGUUGUCUAGUAGCAUAUAAUUUCUAGACUAUAAUAUCAAGUACACUAAAUCUUGCUCUGUGUCAUAGGAAGAGGCACAAAGUGAGACAAUUAUUAUGAUUAGAUCAUGUAGGAUAUGGACUCAAAAUCAAUGAAUAUGUUUCCAUGGCACUUGCAUGGUAUUUACAACCUACAUUACAUCCUUACUGGCAUUAUUUUCUGGUUUUCUUUCGCCGACAGAAUGAAGUCCUUAUUUAUUUAAAGUGGAUAUCAUUUUUCUUCCCCAUUUUUCCUCUCUGAAGUUAUGCAAGAUUCUCUAGCUGCUUUCGGAUAAGAGAUGCACUCUUGAUAUAUGUCUUAACAGUGGUUGUGGACAUCUCUAGCUGUUUUUUGGCCAAUAGAUGCUCCGGUUGCUAAGGGCUUGUACACCAAGGUUGACUUUGCUUGGCAGUUGGCAGAACUUGGAAGUCUUUGUUUGGAAGAAGUGGGACUAGGCCAUGUGACAAAGUUAUUGAGUAGAGGACGUCUUUGGUAGAUGAUUUUGUAGCAAAGGUCUUUGUUAUGUACUGCAGAAUAGAGCCAGAGAUUUUAAACCUUUUGAUCUAGAAAACAGAGAGAUAGCAAGUGAUGUAAUGAAAUGGAGAAGAUGAAUAAACAGACUAGUCUUUUUUCACAGAGAAACUUAGGUGGCAACUAUCUAAGCACCUUAAGGAACCAGACGCACAUGGAACAUU
Molecule: long non-coding RNA, 1603 nt
Organism: Rosa rugosa (rugosa rose)
Lineage: Eukaryota; Viridiplantae; Streptophyta; Magnoliopsida; Rosales; Rosaceae
Exons: 3
Source: RefSeq, a predicted model, not a curated record